AAGGAGCAUCUGCACUGCUCGCUGCGUAGAGUCGUGGCUGAGAGUGCCAGAGCCGCUUAUGUUCCCGAAUGUGGAACUGCGGAGCUCAUGGGUGGAACGCUGACAACCUCAUCGCAUUCGAUCGGUCCUCGGUGGCUGGUCGCGGUGAUAUAUCGACACACUGUUGGGUCCUGAAAGAACAGACGCGAGUCUUUCUUUCCAGGAAGAAACGGAUCUGCCCGGAUCCCUUGGAUACCGCUGGUUUUGCCAGUUCGGUCUUUGGAUUCGAUUCGGUGCGGGUGUGUUGUUUGAGAACUGCACAGUGGACGCGAGCAUCUUUGUUU
This 323-nucleotide unclassified non-coding RNA is filed under the name Nocardia pseudobrasiliensis. Its description in RNAcentral is "16S-23S ribosomal RNA intergenic spacer region". Lineage: Bacteria; Bacillati; Actinomycetota; Actinomycetes; Mycobacteriales; Nocardiaceae. The record is from RNAcentral.